Molecule: ribosomal RNA, 1022 nt
Filed under: Umbelopsis angularis
Lineage: Eukaryota; Fungi; Mucoromycota; Umbelopsidomycetes; Umbelopsidales; Umbelopsidaceae
Description: partial 28S ribosomal RNA
Rfam family: Eukaryotic large subunit ribosomal RNA
Source: RNAcentral
CAAAUUUUGAUCUGAAAUCAGGUAGGAUUACCCGCUGAACUUAAGCAUAUCAAUAAGCGGAGGAAAAGAAACUAACAAGGAUUCCCUCAGUAACGGCGAGUGAAGCGGGAAGAGCUCAAAUUUAAAAUCUGGUUUGCUUGCAAGCCCGAGUUGUAGUCUGAAGAAACGUUUUCCAUAAGCACUGAGGCAAAAGUCCCUUGGAACAGGGCAUCAUAGAGGGUGAGAAUCCCGUCCAUGGUCUCAAGUUGUUUAUUUUGUGAUACGUUUUCAAAGAGUCAGGUUGUUUGGGAAUGCAGCCUAAAAUGGGUGGUAAAUUUCAUCUAAAGCUAAAUAUUGGCGAGAGACCGAUAGCGAACAAGUACCGUGAGGGAAAGAUGAAAAGAACUUUGAAAAGAGAGUUAAACAGUACGUGAAAUUGUUGAAAGGGAACCGUUUGAAGCCAGUCUUACUUGCCUGUGAUCAAUUUUUGCYUCGGCAUGAAUGCACUCUCGGGUAUGGUAGGCCAACGACAGUUUGGAAUGCGAGAAAAAAAUAAGGGAAAUGUGGCCUUCGGGUGUUAUAGUCCCUUAUAAAAUAUCGUGUUCUGGACUGAGGAUCGCAGCAAAAAYGUGGGCAGGUGGAUUUCUGUGGUAACUGUCGRUUAGGACAACUUGUUGACCUAGUCUUCCUUAGCCUCACUAUUUACCUCGCUUCUAAUUUGCUUAGGUCGUUGGCAUAAUGGCUUUAAAUGACCCGUCUUGAAACACGGACCAAGGAGUCUAACAUAUAUGCGAGUAUUUGGGUGGCAAACCCAUAUGCGCAAUGAAAGUGAAAUUAGGUGCCAAACCUUCACGGGUGGCAGCAUCGGCCGGCUCUGACGUUUUAACUGACGAGUCUGAGCAGAAGCAUACAUGUUGGGACCCGAAAGAUGGUGAACUAUGCCUGAAUAGGGUGAAGCCAGAGGAAACUCUGGUGGAGGCUCGUAGCGAUUCUGACGUGCAAAUCGAUCGUCAAAUUUGGGUAUAGGGGCGAAAGACUAAUCG